Molecule: ribosomal RNA, 540 nt
Filed under: Bathygadus melanobranchus (Vaillant's grenadier)
Lineage: Eukaryota; Metazoa; Chordata; Actinopteri; Gadiformes; Macrouridae
Description: partial 16S ribosomal RNA
Rfam family: Bacterial large subunit ribosomal RNA
Source: RNAcentral
UAAGAGGUCUCGCCUGCCCGGUGACUAUAUGUUUAACGGCCGCGGUAUUUUAACCGCGCGAAGGUAGCGUAAUCAUUUGUCUUUUAAAUGAAGACCUGUAUGAAUGGUAUUACGAGGGCUCAACUGUCUCCCUUCUCCAGUCAAUGAAAUUGACUUCCCCGUGCAGAGGCGGGGAUAUUAAUAUAAGACGAGAAGACCCUGUGGAGCUUAAGACCUAAGAUAAGCCAUGUUCAGGAAUCUAAAAACAUAAGUAUAAACUUAGUGGCAUUUAUUGAAGUGUCUUCGGUUGGGGUGACCCUGGGGAAAAACUUAACCCCCAAGUAGACUGGGUACAUUGUCUCUAGAACUCAGAGCCCAUACUCCAAGUAACAGAAUAUUUGACUUUAUGAUCCGGUAUAACCGAUCAACGAACCAAGUUACCCCAGGGAUAACAGCGCAAUCCCCUUUGAGAGCCCAUAUCGACAAGGGGGUUUACGACCUCGAUGUUGGAUCAGGACAUCCUAAUGGUGCAGCUGCUAUUAAGGGUUCGUUUGUUCAACG